This 490-nucleotide ribosomal RNA is filed under the name uncultured bacterium. RNAcentral's name for it is "partial 16S ribosomal RNA". It matches the Rfam family "Bacterial small subunit ribosomal RNA", at positions 30 to 507 of the family's 1533-position model. The record is from RNAcentral.
AUUGAACGCUGGCGGCAGGCCUAACACAUGCAAGUCGAACGGUAACAGGAAGAAGCUUGCUUCUUUGCUGACGAGUGGCGGACGGGUGAGUAAUGUCUGGGAAACUGCCUGAUGGAGGGGGAUAACUACUGGAAACGGUAGCUAAUACCGCAUAACGUCGCAAGACCAAAGAGGGGGACCUUCGGGCCUCUUGCCAUCGGAUGUGCCCAGAUGGGAUUAGCUAGUAGGUGGGGUAACGGCUCACCUAGGCGACGAUCCCUAGCUGGUCUGAGAGGAUGACCAGCCACACUGGAACUGAGACACGGUCCAGACUCCUACGGUAGGCAGCAGUGGGGAAUAUUGCACAAUGGGCGCAAGCCUGAUGCAGCCAUGCCGCGUGUAUGAAGAAGGCCUUCGGGUUGUAAAGUACUUUCAGCGGGGAGGAAGGGAGUAAAGUUAAUACCUUUGCUCAUUUACGUUACCCGCAGAAGAAGCACCGGCUAACUCCGUG